GAUGAACGCUGGCGGCGUGCCUAAUACAUGCAAGUCGAGCGAACAGACGAGAGUGCUUGCACUCUCUGACGUUAGCGGCGGACGGGUGAGUAACACGUGGGUAACCUACCUAUAAGACAGGGAUAACUUCGGGAAACCGGAGCGAAUACCGGAUAAUAUUUAGCUUCGCAUGAAGCAAUAGUGAAAGACGGUUCUGCUGUCACUUAUAGAUGGACCCGCGGUGUAUUAGCUAGUUGGUGAGGUAACGGCUCACCAAGGCAACGAUACAUAGCCGACCUGAGAGGGUGAUCGGCCACACUGGGACUGAGACACGGCCCAGACUCCUACGGGAGGCAGCAGUAGGGAAUCUUCCGCAAUGGACGAAAGUCUGACGGAGCAAUGCCGCGUGAGUGAAGAAGGUUUUCGGAUCGUAAAACUCUGUUGUAAGGGAAGAACAAGUACGUUAGUAACUGAACGUACCUUGACGGUACCUUACCAGAAAGCCACGGCUAACUACGUG
RNAcentral lists this ribosomal RNA (499 nucleotides) under uncultured bacterium. Its description in RNAcentral is "partial 16S ribosomal RNA". It matches the Rfam family "Bacterial small subunit ribosomal RNA", at positions 28 to 507 of the family's 1533-position model. The record is from RNAcentral.